GCAACGCGACCUUGGGACUGGGAGGGUCGUAUGGGCGGUGAUAAGCUGGACUAGAGGUUGCGCGGGGAGGCGGAGCCCGGAGCCGCCGUGCCUGGCGACAUGGGCGGCGAGGUAAGGGGCUAAAACCCUAGAAUUUUGGCAGUACCUUUAUCUGAAUCUGCUACCUCUUCUUCUAAAAUAAAUAAAUCUGCUACUACUUGUUUCCUCUGCAGUUCCGCUUGUGGAUUGCCCUCCUACUGGCUGGAUGGCAGGGACAAUGGAUGCUGAAGUGGUACUAUCCUGAUCAUCUACUGCCCUCUUUUUUUACCAUCUCGGUAGACCGGGCAUGAUGUUUAGUUAUUGUUUAGGUUCAGACAUCGACUGAACUGGUGAAUCCGACUACUUGAUGAGAAGAUAAGUACUACUCGUAGGCCUGCAUACUUUCAUCUGAACUUUCAGGUGGCCUGUCACCUGUCAGGUGGUGAAAUCAAUCAGUUAUACCCAUGAGCAAUGGUCUGCAUGAUAAUAUUUCAUAUUUGGUUUAGGCACCGAUGCAUAUAUGUACAGACAAUGGCCAGCAGUUUAAAGCAUCCCCUCUGGUACCCAGUGUUUGCUUGAAGCAUCCACAUGACUUCAGGAAAGGAAAUGAGAUGGAAAGGGGGAAAUG
This 646-nucleotide long non-coding RNA is filed under the name Triticum aestivum (bread wheat). RNAcentral describes it as "long non-coding RNA (TAES_LNC024608)". The record is from RNAcentral. Lineage: Eukaryota; Viridiplantae; Streptophyta; Magnoliopsida; Poales; Poaceae.